GGGAGCUUAGUUUAGUGGUAAAACGUCGGACUCCAAAUCCGAAGCCGGGGGUUCGAUUCCUCCAGCUCCUGCAA
RNAcentral lists this transfer RNA (74 nucleotides) under Parcubacteria group bacterium QH_9_35_7. Its description in RNAcentral is "tRNA-Trp". It matches the Rfam family "tRNA". Rfam says of the family: Transfer RNA (tRNA) molecules are approximately 80 nucleotides in length. Their secondary structure includes four short double-helical elements and three loops (D, anti-codon, and T loops). The record is from RNAcentral.